GAUGAACGCUGGCGGCGUGCCUAAUUCAUGCAAGUCGAGCGAACAGACGAGGAGCUUGCUCCUCUGACGUUAGCGGCGGACGGGUGAGUAACACGUGGAUAACCUACCUAUAAGACUGGGAUAACUUCGGGAAACCGGAGCUAAUACCGGAUAAUAUAUUGAACCGCAUGGUUCAAUAGUGAAAGACGGUUUUGCUGUCACUUAUAGAUGGAUCCGCGCCGCAUUAGCUAGUUGGUAAGGUAACGGCUUACCAAGGCAACGAUGCGUAGCCGACCUGAGAGGGUGAUCGGCCACACUGGAACUGAGACACGGUCCAGACUCCUACGGGAGGCAGCAGUAGGGAAUCUUUCGCAAUGGGCGAAAGCCUGACGGAGCAACGCCGCGUGAGUGAUGAAGGUCUUCGGAUCGUAAAACUCUGUUAUUAGGGAAGAACAAAUGUGUAAGUAACUAUGCACGUCUUGACGGUACCUAAUCAGAAAGCCACGGCUAACUACGUG
This 497-nucleotide ribosomal RNA is filed under the name uncultured bacterium. RNAcentral's name for it is "partial 16S ribosomal RNA". It matches the Rfam family "Bacterial small subunit ribosomal RNA", at positions 28 to 507 of the family's 1533-position model. The record is from RNAcentral.